Molecule: microRNA precursor, 101 nt
Filed under: Marmota monax (woodchuck)
Lineage: Eukaryota; Metazoa; Chordata; Mammalia; Rodentia; Sciuridae
Source: RNAcentral
AGUGGAAUUGCUAGAUCAUAUGGUAAUCUGUAUUUACCUGUUGAGAAACUGCCAGACUAUUUUCCACAGUGACCAUACCAUUUCCCAUUUCUACCAACAGU